This 297-nucleotide non-coding RNA is filed under the name Pongo abelii (Sumatran orangutan). The record is from RNAcentral. Lineage: Eukaryota; Metazoa; Chordata; Mammalia; Primates; Hominidae.
GGUAGUCACUGUAUUUUAUUGGAAAACAUUGAUAUAUAUUUUUCUUCACAGCUUGAACUGAACACAAUAUUGCCCGGUUUAAAAAAAAACAAAACCAAAACAUUCCGAAAAUGUCCACAGCCUCACGCCUACCUGCCCUUACCCUCAGCUCUUGGCUGGGUCUCCCACUAUGCCCCGUCCCUCCUUCCCUCAGAGGCGAGGGCAAAAGGAAGAGAUGAGGGGCAUGGAGAGAGACUCAGGGAAGAAGGAGAAAGAGCAAUCAUGCAGCUUGGGACAAAUCUUUUGUUGCUUUAUCAG